RNAcentral lists this ribosomal RNA (484 nucleotides) under Blommersia blommersae (Ambrana Madagascar frog). RNAcentral describes it as "partial 16S ribosomal RNA". The stretch from base 1 to 330 matches the Rfam family "Bacterial large subunit ribosomal RNA", at positions 725 to 1300 of the family's 2925-position model. Lineage: Eukaryota; Metazoa; Chordata; Amphibia; Anura; Mantellidae. The record is from RNAcentral.
GGGAGCUACUUCGAAACAGCUAAGAGCUAACCCAUCUCUGUUGCAAUAGAGUGUGAUGAUUUCCAAGUAGAGGUGAUAAACCUACCGCACCUAGAGAUAGCUGGUUACUCAAAAAAAGAAUUUAAGUUCAACCUUAAGUUUUAAAACUUAAGAGCCAUUCAAAUAAGGCACAGCUUAUUUGAAAUAGGAUACAACCUAAAAUAUAGGGUAAUAUCAAGUGGGCCUAAAAACAGCCACCUUUAAAAAACGUUAAAGUUUAAUUUCCCCAUUUUUAUAAAACCCAUAAAUACUAUUGAGUAAUUCUAUACUUUAUAGAAGUUUUUAUGCUAGAACUAGUAAUAAGAAAUUUCUCUAAAAUGUAAGUUUAAGCCACUUUAGACAAUCUACCGGCAAUUAACGUAAAUGAAUCAAUUUUAGUAACAAGAAAAACCUAAAAAUACUACGUUAAUCUUACACUAGAACAUUUUUAGAAAGAUUAAAAGAG